GGGUGUCAUUUAAAACGCUUUUAAUUUAAACUCAGUCGCCGGUUUAGCCGUUCACGGAUAAACAUGGGGCGGUUACUACGCUUCACGAGACAGCCAUGGCCACCCACACACACACACACACGGUAAAAUACUACCACAAUAGCUCACCACCACCGCUGGUCGUGUACGGCUGUUGUACACUAAUGCCGCGUGGCUAUAUCUAGGUUUACGUGGAGCUCUGCAUGAAUAGAAGCCACUGAUGCAGCCACAGACUUGCUCGAUUUUCGUGAGAACACAAAUAGUAUAUAAUUGUUUUGGGAAAAAGCAAAAGCCGAUUAAUUUAACUCGGCGCCGCUAAAAGAACGGCUAGCAUAGGGAAGAGUCAGCUGGGUUCUAGACUAUUCGGGCUUCCCGAAGGUUAAGUGAGGCCUAGUAAAAGUUUAAAGUUUUUAGAGAUUGUUAUAUGAUGUGUCCAAUAAUAUUGAAUAAUGAUAAUAUCUAAG
Molecule: long non-coding RNA, 482 nt
Filed under: Ricinus communis (castor bean)
Lineage: Eukaryota; Viridiplantae; Streptophyta; Magnoliopsida; Malpighiales; Euphorbiaceae
Description: long non-coding RNA (RCOM_LNC002866)
Source: RNAcentral